Long non-coding RNA from Vidua chalybeata, 222 nucleotides. RefSeq lists it as uncharacterized. The transcript has 3 exons. NCBI's taxonomy places the organism in Eukaryota, Metazoa, Chordata, Aves, Passeriformes, Viduidae. The record is from RefSeq and is a predicted model, not a curated record.
CGCCCGCCGCGCUGCCGGGCACCGGGGCCAGCGGCCCGGCGAGCAGCGCCUCACGGAGCCUUCGGAAAUCGGGACAGAGCGUGUUAAAAACUCCAGCUAAACAUGCCAUGGACUUCCUGUCAGAUGAGGAAUAAGUCACUUCACUGCUUUUUCUCAGGAUUCCUGAUACAACAGUUCAGGGUUGUAUGGCAAGAAGAAGCUGGACUGGAGCUGAAAUGUAAC